UAUUGGAACGUUAGUAUAACAGCAAGGGAUACGUUGUACGGUCCUUAUUUCCGGUUGGGGAUCCAGCACAUGUGAAACGUCGUUUGGUCUUCCAGCGGGCGUUCAAGUUAAAAAACUGGACACGGUGGCUACAUGUGAUUGAUUAAAAUGAAACCCAUCCUACUGCGGGGCCACGAGCGGUCCAUCAGUCAGAUCAAGUACAACGGAGAAGGAGACCUUCUGUUUCCGUUGCUAAAGAUCCAGUGGCCAAUGUGUGGUACGACUCGGCACCUACAAUGGACACAUGGGAGCUGUGCCGUGCGUCGACUGUGACUGGGACACCAAAAAUGUUUUGACAGGAUCAGCUGAUGACAGUGGAACUGCGUGAUUGGAGGGUGAAAAGAAAAUGCCUGUGUUUACAUGGAUAGAUAGAAGUUUCUGAGUCCCUCUGGAGUUUCAGCAGCAGUACAGCACCAAAACAACAAUAAAAAACGCACAAAUAGAACAUGUGGGUUUGAUUUCAGCUGCAACAUCAUCAUGUUUUCCACAGACAAGCAGAUGGGCUGUCAGUGUUUCAUGAACCUCUUCGACCUGAGGGAUCCACAGAUCGGUAGUAUUCCGGAGAAGUCCUAAAGAAAGCUAAGGAGCACAGCAGGCACAUCAACGACAUCCAGACGUCUGUAGACCUCACCAUGUUUAUCAGUGUCUCAAAGGACAACACCGCCAAGGUGCUUAUGACAGGAGGCCAUGGAAGUGACCACAGCUUCCACCAGGAUUGGCAAGUUUGAGGCCAGGUUCUUCCAAGCUGUGUACGACGAGGAGUUUGGCAGGAGUCAAAGGUCAUUCUGGUCCCAUCAACUGUGUGGCUUUCCACUCUGAAGGCAAGAGGUAAAUGAGACCAACACAGCUUUUGAUUGUUCCAAAAAUAGUUACAUCAAGGGCAACUGGACAAGGUGGAUUUGACCUCUCCUCAAGAGGCUUCUUCAGUUCAUCAGAACUGAAGAAGCCUCUUGGAUGAGAAACGUCUUAAAAAACAAAAACAAAAAAAAACAACUACUUUGUCCAGUUGCCCUUGAUGCAACUAUUUUUGGAUUCAAUGACUGAGAACCUACACAGACAGCUUUUGAUUGUGUUAUUCCAGCUCGUUGUCAUUCAUUGUGCCUUACUGAUAUUGUACUUUCAUUGUAAGCUAAAAGACUGUUGUGAACCUUCCAGAACAAGCCUUAUCUAAAGGUAACAAUUAAUUGUGCUUCAUUGCCUUUGUAAAAUAGUCACUUUCAUUGUGAAGUGUAUUUGAUUGUUGUAAACCUUCCAGAAUAAAGAACGUUGUUGGAA
Molecule: long non-coding RNA, 1314 nt
Organism: Cynoglossus semilaevis (tongue sole)
Lineage: Eukaryota; Metazoa; Chordata; Actinopteri; Pleuronectiformes; Cynoglossidae
Exons: 8
Source: RefSeq, a predicted model, not a curated record